RNAcentral lists this ribosomal RNA (526 nucleotides) under uncultured bacterium. RNAcentral's name for it is "bacterial SSU rRNA". It matches the Rfam family "Bacterial small subunit ribosomal RNA", at positions 984 to 1509 of the family's 1533-position model. The record is from RNAcentral.
ACAUCCAGCGAACUUGGCAGAGAUGCCUUGGUGCCUUCGGGAACGCUGAGACAGGUGCUGCAUGGCUGUCGUCAGCUCGUGUUGUGAAAUGGUUGGGUUAAGUCCCGNAACGAGCGCAACCCUUAUCCUUUGUUGCCAGCGAUUCGGUCGGGAACUCAAAGGAGACUGCCGGUGAUAAACCGGAGGAAGGUGGGGAUGACGUCAAGUCAUCAUGGCCCUUACGAGUAGGGCUACACACGUGCUACAAUGGCGCAUACAAAGAGAAGCGACCUCGCGAGAGCAAGCGGACCUCAUAAAGUGCGUCGUAGUCCGGAUCGGAGUCUGCAACUCGACUCCGUGAAGUCGGAAUCGCUAGUAAUCGUGGAUCAGAAUGCCACGGUGAAUACGUUCCCGGGCCUUGUACACACCGCCCGUCACACCAUGGGAGUGGGUUGCAAAAGAAGUAGGUAGCUUAACCUUCGGGAGGGCGCUUACCACUUUGUGAUUCAUGACUGGGGUGAAGUCGUAACAAGGUAGGCGUAGCGAG